GCUACUGCAAGCUAUAACAAAAUUUGCUUUGAUUAUCUUCAAUCUCAACCGCUCGGGCAUAGGACGCUUAGCACCCAGUUUUCUUUUUCCGAGCUACCUACUAACCUGGCCCUUUCAACAAGAUCAACACCUGCAGCACAGGUUUGUGCAUCCCUAAAUGGGGAGAAUGACGGCAAGCUCCUCCCAUAUCCACAUUGUCCAGCGAAAGGGGGAGAUGAUGAAAGUAGGUACCAGGGGUGUACUUGCAUCUAGGAAUGCGAGGACACUGUUCGACUUGACUUUGUGCGGGGUCCAGUACAACAACAUAAAAUAAGGGCAAGAUUCGCUCCGAAGCCCACGAAAUUCCUAGCUUUACAAACCCAAUUCCUCAUCCCAAUUGAGGAACAGUUACCGUACAUCAUCGCUCCAAACCGUCGCACAUAAUCCCAUCCAUUUAGGAAACCACACCACCUAUUCCAGAAUAAACGCAUUCAACAGUGCUGCCUCUUUGCCAAUCCACACUGCCUCAUCCCAGAUCUCCAUUGUGGACGCCCCCUUACCAGGCUUCACCAGCAUCUCGGCAUCGGUCCAGCAGCUCCUAGCUGGUCUCUUGUUUCUGAAUACACAGAAAGUUCCUUUUAAUGUUUUUGCUUUUUCUCACUCGCCCCUUUCGCCCCUCUCGCGCCUCUCGCGCCUCUCGCCUCUAUCGCCACAUAUUAAUGACCUUGAGGCUCCUACAGAUCCAAAUACAGAUGGUUCAAUAGGGCACGGGUCGAAUAAUCCCACUCCCAAACUCUAUUUCUCCCUCAAAACCAGCUGUCACCCGAGUCCCCAGCAUCCACAUCCAAUCGAUUAAAAACUCGUAGCCCAGCGGAUUCGAGAUCCUGGACAACCACAGCUCACGGAGGUGAAUGACACAAUGAAACGGAAAGUGAUUCGAACACCUCCAAAUGGAGCGAAACGUGCAUGAUAUCUCUACUGCAUCCUCGUCAUAUGACCACGUCUGAAAGAGCUGAUUGAAUGAAACAGGUGAAAACAUCUACUCAAAUUUGAGCUUUCUGUUUCUUCCACCUUUUUGAUUUGUUCCUCUUGCGUAUGUCUCCAAAUAGAAUAGUAGUUACGCUCUAAGGAUCAUCGCUGUGAUGAUGUGUCAAAUUGAUUUAUCGCCUCCUGCCGAAACCGCUCCAUUCAUCCCUGCGUAAAACAUUUGAUUGCGUGAUGACCAGUCCGAUAAAAAAUGGCG
RNAcentral lists this small RNA (1222 nucleotides) under Histoplasma ohiense. RNAcentral describes it as "hypothetical lncRNA". Lineage: Eukaryota; Fungi; Ascomycota; Eurotiomycetes; Onygenales; Ajellomycetaceae. The record is from RNAcentral.